This 901-nucleotide ribosomal RNA is filed under the name bacterium enrichment culture clone B11. RNAcentral's name for it is "bacterial SSU rRNA". It matches the Rfam family "Bacterial small subunit ribosomal RNA", at positions 8 to 917 of the family's 1533-position model. The record is from RNAcentral.
AGAGUUUGAUCUUGGCUCAGGAUGAACGCUGGCGGCGUGCUUAAUACAUGCAAGUCGAACGGAAAUCACGUAUGAAUACUGGAAGUUAGUGGCCUUAGGGUGCGAAACACGUAUGCCACCUACCUUUACCUGGCGAAUACCCCCGGGAAAUCCUGAUUAAUACACCAUAACAUUACAAGAGGGCAUCCUCUAAUAAUUAAGGAGUUUCGGUUAUGGAUGCUGAUGCGGGAUAUUAGUUAGUUGGGGAGGUAACGGCUCAUUAAGGCAACGAUGUCUAGGGGUCCUGAAAGGGUUAUCCCCCACACUGGUACUGAGACACGGGACAGACUCCUACGGACUGAAACACUAACGAAUAUUGUACAAUGGGCGCAAGCCUGAACCAUUGAUGCCGCGUGAAAGAAGACAGCGCUAUGCGUUGUAAGCUUCUUUUGUGACGUAAUAAAUGUAAGUUCUGGUACUUACUUGAAAGGACCUGAGGAAUAAUACCCGGCUAACUCCAUGCCACCUUCCGAGGUAAUACCGAGGAUGCACGCGUUAUCCGGAUUCAUUGGGUUUAAAGGGUGAGCGUUCGGAUUGAUUACUGGGGGGUGAAAUCACCACAGCUCAACUGUGGAACUGCCUUUGAUACUGUCAGUCUAGAGUAUAGUUGAAGUUGGCGGAUGUGUCAUGUGACGGUGAAAUGCUUAGAUAUGAUCCUGAACACCGAUCGCGAUGCAGCUAGCUAAGCUAUAACUGACGCUCAUGCACGACUUUCUGGGGAGACACUGGAUUAGAUACCCUGAUAGUGGCGCUGUACACGAUUAUACUCGAUGUUGGCCAUACACAGACACGAUGUGACUAAGUGUAUGAGGUAUCCACCUGUUGUGUACGAUCGCUAGAUUGAAACUAUACGACUGACGGA